GAAAGAUGGUGAACUAUGCCUGGCGAGGACAAAGUCAGGGGAAACCCUGUUGGAGGUCCGUAGCGAUUCUGACGUGCAAAUCGAUCGUCGGAGCUGGGUAUAGGGGCGAAAGACUAAUCGAACCAUCUAGUAGCUGGUUCCCUCCGAAGUUUCCCUCAG
This 159-nucleotide ribosomal RNA is filed under the name Dendroiketes novaeguineae. Its description in RNAcentral is "partial 28S ribosomal RNA". It matches the Rfam family "Eukaryotic large subunit ribosomal RNA", at positions 818 to 976 of the family's 3401-position model. Lineage: Eukaryota; Metazoa; Arthropoda; Insecta; Dermaptera; Apachyidae. The record is from RNAcentral.